Molecule: ribosomal RNA, 511 nt
Filed under: Actinoallomurus sp. 645153
Lineage: Bacteria; Bacillati; Actinomycetota; Actinomycetes; Streptosporangiales; Thermomonosporaceae
Description: bacterial SSU rRNA
Rfam family: Bacterial small subunit ribosomal RNA
Source: RNAcentral
GUAACCUGCCCUUGGCUCUGGGAUAAGCCCGGGAAACUGGGUCUAAUACCGGAUAUGACGCGUCACUGCAUGGUGUCGUGUGGAAAGUUUUUCGGCCAGGGAUGGACUCGCGGCCUAUCAGCUUGUUGGUGGGGUGAUGGCCUACCAAGGCGACGACGGGUAGCCGGCCUGAGAGGGCGACCGGCCACACUGGGACUGAGACACGGCCCAGACUCCUACGGGAGGCAGCAGUGGGGAAUAUUGCGCAAUGGGCGGAAGCCUGACGCAGCGACGCCGCGUGGGGGAUGAAGGCCUUCGGGUUGUAAACCUCUUUCACCACCGACGAAGCGAAAGUGACGGUAGGUGGGGAAGAAGCGCCGGCUAACUACGUGCCAGCAGCCGCGGUAAUACGUAGGGCGCAAGCGUUGUCCGGAAUUAUUGGGCGUAAAGAGCUCGUAGGCGGUCCGUCGCGUCUGCCGUGAAAACCCGAGGCUUAACCUCGGGCCUGCGGUGGAUACGGGCGAACUAGAGG